This 253-nucleotide ribosomal RNA is filed under the name uncultured bacterium. RNAcentral's name for it is "partial 16S ribosomal RNA". It matches the Rfam family "Bacterial small subunit ribosomal RNA", at positions 524 to 776 of the family's 1533-position model. The record is from RNAcentral.
UACGUAGGGUGCAAGCGUUGUCCGGAAUUAUUGGGCGUAAAGGGCGCGUAGGCGGUGUGUCAAGUCAGGCGUGAAAGCCCCGGGCUCAACCUGGGAACCGCGCUUGAGACUGGCACGCUCGAGUUCGGGAGAGGAUGGUGGAAUUCCCAGUGUAGAGGUGAAAUUCGUAGAUAUUGGGAAGAACACCGAUGGCGAAGGCAGCCAUCUGGACCGACACUGACGCUGAGGCGCGAAAGCGUGGGGAGCAAACGGG